AGUGGCGAACGGGUGAGUAACACGUGAGUAACCUGCCCCUGACUCUGGGAUAAGCGUUGGAAACGACGUCUAAUACUGGAUAUGAUCACUGGCCGCAUGGUCUGGUGGUGGAAAGAUUUUUUGGUUGGGGAUGGACUCGCGGCCUAUCAGCUUGUUGGUGAGGUAAUGGCUCACCAAGGCGACGACGGGUAGCCGGCCUGAGAGGGUGACCGGCCACACUGGGACUGAGACACGGCCCAGACUCCUACGGGAGGCAGCAGUGGGGAAUAUUGCACAAUGGGCGAAAGCCUGAUGCAGCAACGCCGCGUGAGGGAUGACGGCCUUCGGGUUGUAAACCUCUUUUAGUAGGGAAGAAGCGAAAGUGACGGUACCUGCAGAAAAAGCACCGGCUAACUACGUGCCAGCAGCCGCGGUAAUACGUAGGGUGCAAGCGUUGUCCGGAAUUAUUGGGCGUAAAGAGCUCGUAGGCGGUUUGUCGCGUCUGCUGUGAAAUCCCGAGGCUCAACCUCGGGCUUGCAGUGGGUACGGGCAGACUAGAGUGCGGUAGGGGAGAUUGGAAUUCCUGGUGUAGCGGUGGAAUGCGCAGAUAUCAGGAGGAACACCGAUGGCGAAGGCAGAUCUCUGGGCCGUAACUGACGCUG
Molecule: ribosomal RNA, 641 nt
Filed under: Curtobacterium sp. I14A-00842
Lineage: Bacteria; Bacillati; Actinomycetota; Actinomycetes; Micrococcales; Microbacteriaceae
Description: bacterial SSU rRNA
Rfam family: Bacterial small subunit ribosomal RNA
Source: RNAcentral